CUUGUGUGCUCGCAAUGGCUCAGAGCACCCAGUUCAGUUCUCAGCCACCAUGUUUUAUGUCUCCCUCACUCUCAAGACCGUCAAUGCAGGGCUUUUCCACCCUCUUUUGGACUUAUAUGCACACAUAUUCACAUGUGCAUAUACUGCUUUUAUGCGCUCAACCAGAUGGGAUGGUGAGCAGGCCCUUGGGCAGUAUGAAGAGUGGAGAAGGCUGGCUGAGUUCGCCUACAGCUUUAAUGCCAGCAUUCAGGAGACAAAGGCAGGUGAUGUCUGUAAUUUUCAUGCCAGCCUGCUCUAUAGAGUGAGAUCCAGAGUCAUGGCCAUGUAGACCGAUGUUGGACGAAUUUGAAAAAGAAUAGAGCAAAAGGAAGGAGUGUCUAACAAUGGGAAGGAAUGAGCAGGACCCAUGGUCUACAGACCAUGUCGAGGUCAUUUUUCUGAAAUGGUGACUUGCCA
This 456-nucleotide long non-coding RNA is filed under the name Rattus norvegicus (Norway rat). RNAcentral describes it as "long non-coding RNA NONRATT002696". The record is from RNAcentral. Lineage: Eukaryota; Metazoa; Chordata; Mammalia; Rodentia; Muridae.